UACAACCACACCACCCUGAACGUGCCUGAUCUCAUCUGAUCUUUGAUAAGCAGGGUCAGGAUUGGUUAGUACUACUUGCAUGGGAGAUCAUUGCUGUUAAAA
Molecule: ribosomal RNA, 102 nt
Organism: Ochotona princeps (American pika)
Lineage: Eukaryota; Metazoa; Chordata; Mammalia; Lagomorpha; Ochotonidae
Source: Ensembl